UAUAUGCGUCUAAAUAGUACUUUUGACAACUGCCAAAAAUUAUGGAAUGUAAUGUGGAUUUAUUAAAUUCUCAAUAGUGGCUGGAUUUUAAGAAUUAGCCAC
Long non-coding RNA from Bradysia coprophila, 102 nucleotides. NCBI's taxonomy places the organism in Eukaryota, Metazoa, Arthropoda, Insecta, Diptera, Sciaridae. The record is from RefSeq and is a predicted model, not a curated record.